This 306-nucleotide small RNA is filed under the name Capra hircus (goat). RNAcentral's name for it is "7SK RNA (ENSCHIG00000006473.1)". It matches the Rfam family "7SK RNA". Rfam says of the family: 7SK was discovered as an abundant small nuclear RNA in the mid-70s but a possible function has only recently been suggested. The record is from Rfam by way of RNAcentral. Lineage: Eukaryota; Metazoa; Chordata; Mammalia; Artiodactyla; Bovidae.
GCAUGUCAGGACAAGCUGGCGGUGGCAUCUGUUACUCUAUUGAUCGGCAGUGCUUGUUCAAAAGCUUUGGCCAGUUGAGUGGGGUCUCCUUUCUCCUCACCUAUCUACAUGUGUUCCCCUAAGGCUACAUUCCAGCUGAAGACACAGGAGAUUUGAAAUUGAAGGAGUAGCAUUCUUCAAUGCCAGGACAUUAUAAGCAAACUUUCUAUCAUUACUGCUGGAAGAAUCAAACAGAGGUCAGUUUAGUGAGGCUAGAAGGGACUUCUGUCCAGAAGGAAAAAAUAUCAUUUAGUAAAUGCACUAAAG